RNAcentral lists this ribosomal RNA (498 nucleotides) under uncultured bacterium. Its description in RNAcentral is "partial 16S ribosomal RNA". It matches the Rfam family "Bacterial small subunit ribosomal RNA", at positions 27 to 507 of the family's 1533-position model. The record is from RNAcentral.
GGAUGAACGCUGGCGGCGUGCCUAAUACAUGCAAGUCGAGCGAACGGACGAGAAGCUUGCUUCUCUGAUGUUAGCGGCGGCCGGGUGAGUAACACGUGGAUAACCUACCUAUAAGGCUGGGAUAACUUCGGGAAACCGGAGCUAAUACCGGAUAAUAUUUUGAACCGCAUGGUUCAAAAGUGAAAGACGGUCUUGCUGUCACUUAUAGAUGGAUCCGCGCUGCAUUAGCUAGUUGGUAAGGUAACGGCUUACCAAGGCAACGAUGCAUAGCCGACCUGAGAGGGUGAUCGGCCACACUGGAACUGAGACACGGUCCAGACUCCUACGGGAGGCAGCAGUAGGGAAUCUUCCGCAAUGGGCGAAAGCCUGACGGAGCAACGCCGCGUGAGUGAUGAAGGUCUUCGGAUCGUAAAACUCUGUUAUUAGGGAAGAACAUAUGUGUAAGUAACUGUGCACAUCUUGACGGUACCUAAUCAGAAAGCCACGGCUAACUACGUG